GAACGCACAUUGCGCCUUCUGGUAUUCCAGGGGGCAUGCCUGUUCGAGCGUUAUUACAACCCUCAAGCUCUGCUUGGUAUUGGGUGUCACCUUGCUAGGUGCACCUUAAAAUCAGUGGCGGCGCCAUUUAGCUUCAAGCAUAGUAAUACAUCUUGCUUUGGAGGUUAGGUGCGUGCUUGCCAGCAACCCCUAAUUAUCAAAGGUUGACCUCGGAUCAGGUAGGGAUACCCGCUGAACUUAAG
Molecule: unclassified non-coding RNA, 242 nt
Filed under: uncultured fungus
Lineage: Eukaryota; Fungi
Description: sequence contains 5.8S rRNA gene
Rfam family: 5.8S ribosomal RNA (bases 1-53)
Source: RNAcentral